UGCAGUCGAGCGAACAGAUAAGGAGCUUGCUCCUUUGACGUUAGCGGCGGACGGGUGAGUAACACGUGGGUAACCUACCUAUAAGACUGGGAUAACUUCGGGAAACCGGAGCUAAUACCGGAUAACAUUUGGAACCGCAUGGUUCUAAAGUGAAAGAUGGUUUUGCUAUCACUUAUAGAUGGACCCGCGCCGUAUUAGCUAGUUGGUAAGGUAACGGCUUACCAAGGCGACGAUACGUAGCCGACCUGAGAGGGUGAUCGGCCACACUGGAACUGAGACACGGUCCAGACUCCUACGGGAGGCAGCAGUAGGGAAUCUUCCGCAAUGGGCGAAAGCCUGACGGAGCAACGCCGCGUGAGUGAUGAAGGGUUUCGGCUCGUAAAACUCUGUUAUUAGGGAAGAACAAAUGUGUAAGUAACUGUGCACGUCUUGACGGUACCUAAUCAGAAAGCCACGGCUAACUACGUGCCAGCAGCCGCGGUAAUACGUAGGUGGCAAGCGUUAUCCGGAAUUAUUGGGCGUAAAGCGCGCGUAGGCGGUUUCUUAAGUCUGAUGUGAAAGCCCACGGCUCAACCGUGGAGGGUCAUUGGAAACUGGGAAACUUGAGUGCAGAAGAGGAAAGUGGAAUUCCAUGUGUAGCGGUGAAAUGCGCAGAGAUAUGGAGGAACACCAGUGGCGAAGGCGACUUUCUGGUCUGUAACUGACGCUGAUGUGCGAAAGCGUGGGGAUCAAACAGGAUUAGAUACCCUGGUAGUCCACGCCGUAAACGAUGAGUGCUAAGUGUUAGGGGGUUUCCGCCCCUUAGUGCUGCAGCUAACGCAUUAAGCACUCCGCCUGGGGAGUACGACCGCAAGGUUGAAACUCAAAGGAAUUGACGGGGACCCGCACAAGCGGUGGAGCAUGUGGUUUAAUUCGAAGCAACGCGAAGAACCUUACCAAAUCUUGACAUCCUUUGAAAACUCUAGAGAUAGAGCCUUCCCCUUCGGGGGACAAAGUGACAGGUGGUGCAUGGUUGUCGUCAGCUCGUGUCGUGAGAUGUUGGGUUAAGUCCCGCAACGAGCGCAACCCUUAAGCUUAGUUGCCAUCAUUAAGUUGGGCACUCUAGGUUGACUGCCGGUGACAAACCGGAGGAAGGUGGGGAUGACGUCAAAUCAUCAUGCCCCUUAUGAUUUGGGCUACACACGUGCUACAAUGGACAAUACAAAGGGCAGCUAAACCGCGAGGUCAUGCAAAUCCCAUAAAGUUGUUCUCAGUUCGGAUUGUAGUCUGCAACUCGACUACAUGAAGCUGGAAUCGCUAGUAAUCGUAGAUCAGCAUGCUACGGUGAAUACGUUCCCGGGUCUUGUACACACCGCCCGUCACACCACGAGAGUUUGUAACACCCGAAGCCGGUGGAGUAACCAUUUAUGGAGCUAGCCGUCGAA
This 1424-nucleotide ribosomal RNA is filed under the name Staphylococcus saprophyticus. Its description in RNAcentral is "bacterial SSU rRNA". It matches the Rfam family "Bacterial small subunit ribosomal RNA". RNAcentral also lists the same sequence under 1 other name. Lineage: Bacteria; Bacillati; Bacillota; Bacilli; Caryophanales; Staphylococcaceae. The record is from RNAcentral.